Molecule: ribosomal RNA, 582 nt
Filed under: Triticum aestivum (bread wheat)
Lineage: Eukaryota; Viridiplantae; Streptophyta; Magnoliopsida; Poales; Poaceae
Description: partial small subunit ribosomal RNA
Source: RNAcentral
AUGGUCGAAGGCUCGGAGAUGGACAUCACCAACCUCAAGUUCCUCCUCCUGUGCUUCCAACAGAUGUCAGGCCUCAAGAUCAAAUUCGAUAAGAGCGAUGUUAUGGUGAUGGGAUACUCUCCUGAUGAGUCUGUGGCCAUUGCCAAUAGACUCAAUUGCCGCCUGGGCUCAUUCCCCACUACCUACCUUGGGACGCCCAUCAGUGACUCGCGCCUCUUGGCCGCCGAUCUUCGCCCCUACGUGACCAAGCUCCAGACUAGGUGCGAGCCCUGGCAGGGGAGGUGGCUUUCCAAGGCGGCCCGGACCAUUCUUAUCAACUCCUCCCUCUCCAGCCUCCUCUUAUUUCUUAUGAGUUUCUACAGCCUCCACGAAUCUCUCCAUAAGGAGAUCGCCAAAAUCCAGUCUCGAUUCUAUUGGGCUGGCGAGCACGGCAAGCAGAAGUAUCACAUGGUCAGCUGGCCUGACAUCUGCAAGCCUAGGGAGCAGGGUGGAUUGGGAAUCAUGUGCUCUAAGCGGAUGAAUAUUGCCCUCCUAUCCCGGUGGCUGUGGCGCAUCAUGCAGGGUCAUGGUGGCCUUUGGCUG